Molecule: ribosomal RNA, 757 nt
Filed under: uncultured Actinomyces sp.
Lineage: Bacteria; Bacillati; Actinomycetota; Actinomycetes; Actinomycetales; Actinomycetaceae
Description: bacterial SSU rRNA
Rfam family: Bacterial small subunit ribosomal RNA
Source: RNAcentral
GACGAACGCUGGCGGCGUGCUUAACACAUGCAAGUCGAACGCUGAAGACCUGGCUUUUGUUGGGUUGGAUGAGUGGCGAACGGGUGAGUAACACGUGAGUAACCUGCCCUCUUCUUUGGGAUAACGCCCGGAAACGGGUGCUAAUACUGGAUAUUCACUGGCCUUCGCAUGGGGGUUGGUGGAAAGGUUUGUUCUGGUGGGGGAUGGGCUCGCGGCCUAUCAGCUUGUUGGUGGGGUGAUGGCCUACCAAGGCUUUGACGGGUAGCCGGCCUGAGAGGGUGACCGGUCACAUUGGGACUGAGAUACGGCCCAGACUCCUACGGGAGGCAGCAGUGGGGAAUAUUGCACAAUGGGCGAAAGCCUGAUGCAGCGACGCCGCGUGAGGGAUGGAGGCCUUCGGGUUGUAAACCUCUUUCGCUCAUGGUCAAGCCGCAACUGUGGGUUGUGGUGAGGGUAGUGGGUAAAGAAGCGCCGGCUAACUACGUGCCAGCAGCCGCGGUAAUACGUAGGGCGCGAGCGUUGUCCGGAAUUAUUGGGCGUAAAGGGCUUGUAGGCGGUUGGUCGCGUCUGCCGUGAAAUUCUCUGGCUUAACUGGGGGCGUGCGGUGGGUACGGGCUGACUUGAGUGCGGGUAGGGGAGACUGGGAACUCCUGGUGUAGCGGUGGAAUGCGCAGAUAUCAGGAAGAACACCGGUGGCGAAGGCGGGUCUCUGGGCCGUUACUGACGCUGAGGAACCAAAACGUGGGGAGCGAACAGG